This 497-nucleotide ribosomal RNA is filed under the name uncultured bacterium. RNAcentral describes it as "partial 16S ribosomal RNA". It matches the Rfam family "Bacterial small subunit ribosomal RNA", at positions 28 to 507 of the family's 1533-position model. The record is from RNAcentral.
GAUGAACGCUGGCGGCGUGCCUAAUACAUGCAAGUCGAGCGAACGGACGAGAAGCUUGCUCCUCUGAUGUUAGCGGCGGACGGGUGAGUAACACGUGGAUAACCUACCUAUAAGACUGGGAUAACUUCGGGAAACCGUAGCUAAUACCGGAUAAUAUUUUGAACCGCAUGGUUCAAAGGUGAAAGACGGUCUUGCUGUCACUUAUAGAUGGAUCCGUGCUGCAUUAGCUAGUUGGUAAGGUAACGGCUUACCAAGGCAACGAUGCAUAGCCGACCUGAGAGGGUGAUCGGCCACACUGGAACUGAGACACGGUCCAGACUCCUACGGGAGGCAGCAGUAGGGAAUCUUCCGCAAUGGGCGAAAGCCUGACGGAGCAACGCCGCGUGAGUGAUGAAGGUCUUCGGAUCGUAAAACUCUGUUAUUAGGGAAGAACAUAUGUGUAAGUAACUGUGCACAUCUUGACGGUACCUAAUCAGAAAGCCACGGCUAACUACGUG